GAACAUAAACCGUAUGUGUCAUGUUUAUGGCAUAUACUACGAUACAAGAAAAGAUAAGAGCACGACACAUUAGUUGUUCUUAGUUUGGGUGUCAAAUAAGAUAAAAUACAAUUGGUCUUAAUUGUAAUGCAUCAAACGUGUAUAGUUUUUUUUUUUUUUUUUUGGUUCAACCAUCAAAUGUGUAUACAAUAUACGUUGUUUUUGAAACUUUCUUGUUAAAACAAUCAAACGCUUCUGAGAUAAAUACUAUUUUCUUUGACCAUUCAUCUACUUUUACGCAAUUAAAAUAUAAAUACUUUUCGAAACAGAUCCUUCCAUUGUUGUGUGACAUGUCGAGUCGUUUGUUUGCAUUGCAACGAAGGGGAAAACGU
Molecule: long non-coding RNA, 371 nt
Filed under: Capsella rubella
Lineage: Eukaryota; Viridiplantae; Streptophyta; Magnoliopsida; Brassicales; Brassicaceae
Description: long non-coding RNA (CRUB_LNC003615)
Source: RNAcentral